This is a long non-coding RNA of Ipomoea nil (Japanese morning glory), 500 nucleotides long. RefSeq lists it as uncharacterized. Lineage: Eukaryota; Viridiplantae; Streptophyta; Magnoliopsida; Solanales; Convolvulaceae. The record is from RefSeq and is a predicted model, not a curated record. The transcript has 3 exons.
AAUAACUUACAAUCUCAACUCCUUUCUUUUCUGCAUGUGUAAUGUAGACAAAGAACGUAGAGAGAACGACAGAUAUUAGUGGAGCAAUUGCAGGAAAGCUAAGAAGGAAGCUCCAAUGAGAAUGGUCUGCCAAUUCCACUGCAAGUCAAUGGGAAAUAAACGCAAAUAGGAUCAAUUUCAUUCCGAAGCAUAGUUCCCAGCAAGAGAGACACAACAGCAACUGGCCCUAUGGCAAUAUCUCUUGAGCUGCCCAUGAAUGCGUAAAUCAAUGGUGGAACAAAGCUGGAGUCUGGCAGAGUUAUAACAGUACAGAUAGUCAGCACAAGUGCAAAAAAAAAAAAGGAUUUUUUUGUAAGUCACCAAAGGAGUUUAGAAACGAUGCUUACAUAAUCCAUACUGAGGAUCUAAGUUUGCCAGCUUGGAAUACCCAAUGUCCUUUUAAACCAAUAGUGAAGAAGUAACAGUUAGUCAUGAAUGAACUUUAUAUACUUGAUCAACCA